This 853-nucleotide long non-coding RNA is filed under the name Rattus norvegicus (Norway rat). RNAcentral describes it as "long non-coding RNA NONRATT030385". Lineage: Eukaryota; Metazoa; Chordata; Mammalia; Rodentia; Muridae. The record is from RNAcentral.
AGUUAAAUUGCUGAUGUCUGUGAACAGAGUGGAGGGUAACACCCAAGCCACCUACGGAAUCUCUAGGAAUGAUUGGGAAGAUGCUGAAUUUCAGAAGUUGUCAAACGGUGGAAACACAGGGACAGCUCAGAAGUCUAAGAGGAAAGUGGGUCUAGAUGAUGUAUUUUAAAGGUGAGCACUGUGUCUGGCUACCCUAGUGCUGCCUACAGUAUCCACUGGGUUCUCACCAUGCACUGUAAUAGAUACUUUGUUCCUAUAAACUCCAAUGAUAAAAAUCAGUCUUGGGAGCUUUUACAGUGGCCUUGUAACUGCAACUCCCGGGCUCCAUCGCCCUCUUCUGGCCUCCGUGGGCACUGCGCUCGUGCACAUUCCCACACACAGACAUACACACAUAAUUAAAAAUAAAAGGUAAAUCUCAAAUUAGUCUUGCUAGGAGGUGGUGGCCCACAACUUUAACCCCAACGCUUUUAGGCAGAGUGAGUUGUAGGACAGACAGGGCUACAUAGAGGAAACCUCAUCUCAAAAACAAAUGAAACAAAAAAAAAUUAGCCUUGUGAAAUGUGAUGCAAAGUUACUUGAUAAAUUCUGUCAUUUAAAAUCCACCUUAAUGGUCAUGUUGGAAAUAAAGCUUGGACAUGCUUAGUUUUACCCUCUCAAAGCAAAUUUCCUUAUUAGGAUAUUUUUACUCUAGCUGGGCAUGCAACUUGAAUUCCAGGCCAGCCGGGGUUACGCAAUGAGACCCCUGAUAUAAAAAAAGAAAGAGAAAGGUUUUUAUUUAUUUAUCUGUUAUUUAUCUGUCUUAGAUGUGUAUGCCCCUCUCGCUUUACGUACUAUGCAUUGUUUUCGUUUGUUU